GAGAAUGCAGGCAUGAGUAGCGUGUGACGGGUGGGAAUCCCGUCCGCCGAUUAUCCAAGGGUUCCAGGGUCAAGUUUGUCUGCCCUGGGUGAGUCGGGUCCUAAGGCGAGGCCGACAGGCGUAGUCGAUGGGUAACCAGUUGAUAUUCUGGUACCGGCUUGUCACCGUCCGUGUCGAGGUGUGUGAUGCUAAGCAUGUGAGCUUGUCUUGGGAG
RNAcentral lists this ribosomal RNA (214 nucleotides) under Schizochytrium aggregatum. RNAcentral's name for it is "partial Bacterial large subunit ribosomal RNA". It matches the Rfam family "Bacterial large subunit ribosomal RNA", at positions 1290 to 1504 of the family's 2925-position model. The record is from RNAcentral. Lineage: Eukaryota; Bigyra; Thraustochytrida; Thraustochytriidae.